Molecule: ribosomal RNA, 400 nt
Filed under: uncultured bacterium
Lineage: Bacteria
Description: bacterial SSU rRNA
Rfam family: Bacterial small subunit ribosomal RNA
Source: RNAcentral
UUGAACGCUGGCGGCAUGCCUUACACAUGCAAGUCGAGCGGCAGCGCGGGGGCAACCCUGGCGGCGAGCGGCGAACGGGUGAGUAAUACAUCGGAACGUGUCCAGUUGUGGGGGAUAACCAGUCGCAAGAUUGACUAAUACCGCAUACGAUCCACGGAUGAAAGCGGGGGACCGCAAGGCCUCGCGCUAUUGGAGCGGCCGAUGUCGGAUUAGCUCGUUGGCGGGGUAACGGCCCACCAAGGCGACGAUCCGUAGCUGGUCGGAGAGGACGACCAGCCACACUGGAACGGAGACACGGUCCAGACGCCGACGGGAGGCAGCAGUGGGGAAUUUUGGACAAUGGGCGCAAGCCUGAUCCAGCCAUGCCGAGGGAGUGAAGAAGGCCUGCGGGUUGUAAAGC